Molecule: ribosomal RNA, 253 nt
Filed under: uncultured bacterium
Lineage: Bacteria
Description: partial 16S ribosomal RNA
Rfam family: Bacterial small subunit ribosomal RNA
Source: RNAcentral
GACAGAGGGUGCAAACGUUGUUCGGAAUUACUGGGCGUAAAGAGCGCGCAGGCGGUCGUUCAAGUCGCGUGUGAAAGCCCCCGGCUCAACUGGGGAGGGUCACGCGAUACUGAUCGACUCGAAGGCAGGAGAGGGUAGUGGAAUUCCCGGUGUAGUGGUGAAAUGCGUAGAUAUCAGGAGGAACACCGGUGGCGAAGGCGGGUCUCUGGGCCGAAACUGACGCUGAGGAGCGAAAGCGUGGGGAGCAAACAGG